This 476-nucleotide long non-coding RNA is filed under the name Gopherus agassizii (Agassiz's desert tortoise). Its description in RNAcentral is "lncRNA (ENSGAGG00000007488.1)". Lineage: Eukaryota; Metazoa; Chordata; Testudines; Testudinidae. The record is from RNAcentral.
AACACAUAAGAGAUGGAGGAAGGAAAAUGUUUUUCUCUUGGUGUUGAAAACAUUAAAUCCUCAAAGACUCAUGAAGUGUAUAAUCACUGUGCAACUUUCACAAAACUCAGACAACCAUAUAACCAAGGAAAAAUGCUCCUAAUAAUAAUUUAUCUUUAUUUCUGUUUAUUUUUAGAGAAACAAGAUGCAGUAAUUAGUGACCUUCAAAGAGAACUUGACUGGAGAAGGAUCAUAGUCUGUCCAGGUAAUUACAGCUCAUAUGGAAUCAAUAUCCAAAGCUCCCCUUCCGGAGAUUUCCCAUCCUCUUUUCUCAUGCAGUUAACAUUUUGCAUAGCUCUUCGGGGCAGGGAGGGCUCUAUAUUUAGGUGAAAAGACGCAAAGGCCUGUGUGGCCAACAGUGCUGGGCAUGGGCCCUGAGAGGAAUGAUACCUCUUCCAGGGGGCUGCAGCUGAGGUUGGCACUAACCAUGCAAUCAU